RNAcentral lists this ribosomal RNA (253 nucleotides) under uncultured bacterium. RNAcentral describes it as "partial 16S ribosomal RNA". It matches the Rfam family "Bacterial small subunit ribosomal RNA", at positions 524 to 776 of the family's 1533-position model. The record is from RNAcentral.
UACGAAGGGUGCAAACGUUGCUCGGAAUUAUUGGGCGUAAAGCGCACGUAGGCGGCGCAGUAAGUCCCAUGUGAAAGCCCACGGCUUAACCGUGGAAGUGCAUGGGAAACUACUGUGCUUGAGUACUUAAGAGGAUCGCGGAAUUCCCGGUGUAGAGGUGAAAUUCGUAGAUAUCGGGAGGAACACCAGUGGCGAAGGCGGCGAUCUGGGAAGUUACUGACGCCGAGGUGCGAAAGCGUGGGGAGCGAACAGG